AUGACUAUAGUUUAAUGGUAGAAUGGUCGAUUUCCAAUCGAUAAGUGCUGAUUCGAAUUCAGCUAGUCAUA
Molecule: transfer RNA, 71 nt
Organism: Talaromyces islandicus
Lineage: Eukaryota; Fungi; Ascomycota; Eurotiomycetes; Eurotiales; Trichocomaceae
Rfam family: tRNA
About the family: Transfer RNA (tRNA) molecules are approximately 80 nucleotides in length. Their secondary structure includes four short double-helical elements and three loops (D, anti-codon, and T loops).
Source: Rfam